UACGAAGGGGGCUAGCGUUGUUCGGAAUUACUGGGCGUAAAGCGCGCGCAGGCGGCUAUCCAAGUCAGUGGUGAAAGCCCGGAGCUCAACUCCGGAACUGCCAUUGAAACUGUUUAGCUUGAGGAUGAGAGAGGUGAGUGGAAUUCCCGAAGUAGAGGUGAAAUUCGUAGAUAUUGGGAAGAACACCGGUGGCGAAGGCGGCUCACUGGCCCGUAACUGACGCUCAUGCACGACAGCGUGGGGAUCAAACAGG
RNAcentral lists this ribosomal RNA (253 nucleotides) under uncultured bacterium. RNAcentral's name for it is "partial 16S ribosomal RNA". It matches the Rfam family "Bacterial small subunit ribosomal RNA", at positions 524 to 776 of the family's 1533-position model. The record is from RNAcentral.